AUUGAACACUGGCGGCAGGCCUAACACAUGCAAGUCGAGCGGAGCGGCGGACGGAUGAGUAAUGCCUAGGAAUCUGCCUUGUCGUGGUGGAUACCGUACGGAAACGGGCGCUAAUAUCGCAUACUAUCAGAUUAGCCUAGGUCGGUUUAGCUAGUUGGUGGGUAAAGGCCUACAAGGCCGACGAUCCGUACCUGGUCUGAGAGGAUGAUCAGUCAAACGGGAACUGAGACACGGCCCAUACGCACACGGGAGGCAGCAGUGGGGAAUAUGGGACAAUGGGCGAAAGCCUGAUCCAGCCAGGCCGCGUGUGUGAAGAAGGUCUUCGGAUUGUAAAGCACUUUAAGUUGGGAGGCGUUACCAACAGAAUAAGCACCGGCUAACUUCGUGCCAGCAGCCGCGGUAAUC
Molecule: ribosomal RNA, 405 nt
Filed under: uncultured bacterium
Lineage: Bacteria
Description: partial 16S ribosomal RNA
Rfam family: Bacterial small subunit ribosomal RNA
Source: RNAcentral